UACGAAGGGGGCUAGCGUUGUUCGGAAUUACUGGGCGUAAAGCGCGUGUAGGCGGGUCUUUAAGUCAGGGGUGAAAUGCCAAGGCUCAACCUUGGAACUGCCUUUGAUACUGAAGAUCUUGAGUCCGGGAGAGGUGAGUGGAACUGCGAGUGUAGAGGUGAAAUUCGUAGAUAUUCGCAAGAACACCAGUGGCGAAGGCGGCUCACUGGCCCGGUACUGACGCUGAGGUGCGAAAGCGUGGGGAGCAAACAGG
RNAcentral lists this ribosomal RNA (253 nucleotides) under uncultured bacterium. RNAcentral's name for it is "partial 16S ribosomal RNA". It matches the Rfam family "Bacterial small subunit ribosomal RNA", at positions 524 to 776 of the family's 1533-position model. The record is from RNAcentral.